RNAcentral lists this ribosomal RNA (253 nucleotides) under uncultured bacterium. Its description in RNAcentral is "partial 16S ribosomal RNA". It matches the Rfam family "Bacterial small subunit ribosomal RNA", at positions 524 to 776 of the family's 1533-position model. The record is from RNAcentral.
UACGUAGGGGGCUAGCGUUGUCCGGAAUCAUUGGGCGUAAAGCGCACGUAGGCGGUUUGUUAAGUCGGAUGUGAAAUCCCUCGGCUCAACUGAGGAAGUGCACCCGAAACUGGGUAGCUAGAGUGCAAAAGAGGGUCGCGGAAUUCCCGGUGUAGAGGUGAAAUUCGUAGAUAUCGGGAGGAACACCGGUGGCGAAGGCGGCGACCUGGGUUGACACUGACGCUGAGGCGCGAAAGCGUGGGGAGCAAACAGG